CGCCACAUUAACUUGCCUCACGUUAAGUCCAUCAUCGCAGGUACUCACCAGCUAGGACCGUCCUUACGGGUCUACUCCAACCCGGAUGCAUAACUCCGGAGCGCAUCGCCCGAGGGGGACGACCGCCCUCGAGCACGGAACUCAAUAGCAAGUAUGAUCAUAUUCUUAACUCAAAGGAUUAUAAGUUCAAUCUUGACUUUACACUAGCUCUAGUGUUCUUUACAUCACUUUAUGUUGCAAACUCAUGCAAUCACAUUCUUACAUUCUCAUUACUCUUGCUAACUCUAGCAAUCAUUAUUCUUUGCAUUUCUUUUACUUUUGCUAACUCUAGCAUUCCGUCUGCAUGCCCACUUUACUUUAGCUUUACUCGUCGUCAUUUUCAUCAUUCUUUACAUCACUUUAAUUCUUUACAUCACACUAACUCUAGUGUCAUUUCACAUUAGCUUUAUCGAAUGCCACUCGAUCUAUGUCAUUGUGCCACUCUGUUCUUUUGCUCACUUUAGGUACUCACAUUUUCCCUCAUGCAUACAUCUAGGGUUUUGACAUUAUUAGGUUCUCAACCAUCUCAUUAUGCAAGUUGUGCUCACAAUCCUGCAAUCAUCACAUUUCAUCAUUACUUUACCCUAAAAUGCAUGCAACAAUAUAUAACAUAUGCUCAAAGAAUGACACAUUAGGCAUAGAGAGAAUUUCAAUGAGUUUGAGAAGCACCACCCACCUCGUAGGCUUUCAAAGGUGCUCCGAUGAUUUUCUUGGAAUUUUUAGACUCUUCGUUCUUUACCUGCGGCAUAACGAAGCCAAAUUAGGCUAUUUUGCCCAUAACUUUACAUCGGCUUUUCGUAACGUUAAUCCGAGCGCACCAACGCGUCGGAAAUACCCCCAAUUAGGUUUUUUUGAGGGUCAAUUGCACUUAGAAACCUUUAUGAGCAAAAGCCCCAAUUUGGGUGCCCUAGCUCCAAUGUGUAUCAAAACCUAGGGUUUGAUCUCAUUGGGAAGCAAAAGUAGCUUCAUUACACUCUAAUUAGUCCAUUAGAACCAUUCUUAGGCUCUCCAAAUCCCUAGUUUGGAUUUCACCAUUAGAGGUGGUCCAAGCUCACCUAUAUAGCAAAACUAGGUUUUGAUCUCUUUAGAAGCAAAAGAAAGCUUCAAAACUACUAAAUAUUCCAUUAAAAACCAUUUCUAGGUUCAUUCAAACCCAUUUCUAGGGUUUUACUACACUAGGGUUCAAAGCUUACCUCAAGCUUUCCUUUUCUUCAAGCUAGAGAUGAAGGAGAAGGAGUUUCUUCACUUCUUCUUCUUCUUCUCCACUUUCUUCCUCUUCUUUUCCUUCUUUUCUUCCUUUCUUCUUCUUCUCUUUUGUCUUCUAGAGAGAGAGAGGGAGAGAAGAGAGUGUGAGAGGGUGAGGAAAUGAGAGAGGAAGGCUCCCUCAGCCCCAACAUAACCCUUGGGUUGCAAAAUUGCUAAUAAACCCCUCAACUUUUAUCUCUGUGCACUGCCUGGACUGGGCAGUUUUCGCAGGCAGAGACCGGUCUCCCCGAGCAGGGACCGGUCCCCGAAGGCCCGCACUGCGCAGCCAGAGCUGCCGCGCGCAAUGCAUCCGGUCCCUCCUUGGGGGACCGGUCUCUGGGGGACCGGUCUCUUAGACAGAGACCGGUUCCCGAGAGCUGUCCUUCCAGGACUUAGCCGAUUUUUCGGCUGUCUCAUUCUGCACGCGUUCGGGGACCGGUCUCUCCCACCAGGGACCGGUCCCCGAGAGCUCAAACUCUGCAGUUUUGCAGAAUUCGAUUCUUUAGCUCUCGAAAACCUUCCACAACUCACUUUUACUCAUUUUAACACCUUCGGACUUUCCGAAGUGUACCAUCCUCGCACUUUGGUCAAUUUGACUAAAGUUCGAUACUUUUAUUUUUCGAAUUUUCGGUAUAUUACAUCG
Molecule: long non-coding RNA, 1927 nt
Filed under: Ananas comosus (pineapple)
Lineage: Eukaryota; Viridiplantae; Streptophyta; Magnoliopsida; Poales; Bromeliaceae
Description: long non-coding RNA (ACOM_LNC044708)
Source: RNAcentral